GGUUGACCUUCUUGGUCGAGCUGGGAAGUUAGAUGAAGCUGUAGAUUUGAUAAAGAAAAUGCCUUUCAAACCUCAUGUCGCUAUUUUUGGAACUCUUUUGGGUGCUUGUAGGAUACACAAGAACAUAGAGAUGGCUGAGUUUGCUGCCAAGAACUUGCUUGAUCUUGAUCCAACAAGUGCAACCGGUUAUGUUCAACUUGCAAAUGCUUAUGCAGCUCAGAACAGAUGGGACCAUGUUGCCAGGGUUAGGCGUUCAAUGAAAAGCAGCAGGGUAGUGAAGACCCCUGGGUACAGUUGGCUUGAAGUUAAGAGCGUAGUUCAUAAGUUCAGAUCAAGUGAUAGGAUUCACCCAGAAUUAGCUUGGGUACAUCAAAAACUGAACGAAUUAGAGAAGAAAAUGAAGUUAGCAGGAUAUGUGCCAGAUCUUGAAUAUGCAUUGCAUGAUGUGGAAGAAGAGCAGAAAGUGCAGCUUUUGCUGUGGCACAGCGAGAAGCUGGCAAUUGCUUAUGGCCUUAUCAAAUUGCCAUUAAGGACACCAAUACGGGUGUUCAAAAACUUGAGAGUGUGCGGGGAUUGCCAUCGUGCUAUAAAGUACAUAUCUGCAAUAGAAAGAAGAGAAAUUAUUGUCAGAGAUAAUACAAGGUUUCAUCAUUUCAAAGAUGGAUUUUGUUCUUGUGGUGAUUAUUGGUAGCAAAUAUGAUAUACAUAGGAACCAACUUUGGUGAAUAGAUCUAGCAUGUUCGAAAACAUAAAAGGGAGCACCAUUUCAUAGUUUUAUGAGAAAUUACAAAUAAAU
RNAcentral lists this unclassified non-coding RNA (796 nucleotides) under Hevea brasiliensis (rubber tree). The record is from RNAcentral. Lineage: Eukaryota; Viridiplantae; Streptophyta; Magnoliopsida; Malpighiales; Euphorbiaceae.